This 577-nucleotide ribosomal RNA is filed under the name uncultured Oceanospirillaceae bacterium. RNAcentral describes it as "bacterial SSU rRNA". It matches the Rfam family "Bacterial small subunit ribosomal RNA", at positions 60 to 628 of the family's 1533-position model. Lineage: Bacteria; Pseudomonadati; Pseudomonadota; Gammaproteobacteria; Oceanospirillales; Oceanospirillaceae. The record is from RNAcentral.
AGUCGAGCGGUAACAGGAGUAGCUUGCUACUCGCUGACGAGCGGCGGACGGGUGAGUAACGCGUAGGAAUCUGCCUGAUAGUUGGGGAUAGCCCGGGGAAACCCGGAUUAAUACCGAAUACGCUCUACGGAGGAAAGCAGGGGAUCUUCGGACCUUGCGCUAUCAGAUGAGCCUGCGUGAGAUUAGCUAGUUGGUGAGGUAAUGGCUCACCAAGGCGACGAUCUCUAGCUGGUCUGAGAGGAUGAUCAGCCACACUGGGACUGAGACACGGCCCAGACUCCUACGGGAGGCAGCAGUGGGGAAUAUUGGACAAUGGGGGCAACCCUGAUCCAGCCAUGCCGCGUGUGUGAAGAAGGCCUUAGGGUUGUAAAGCACUUUCAGGAGUGAGGAAGGGUGUACGGUUAAUACCCGUAUAUUUUGACGUUAACUCCAGAAGAAGCACCGGCUAACUCUGUGCCAGCAGCCGCGGUAAUACAGAGGGUGCGAGCGUUAAUCGGAAUUACUGGGCGUAAAGCGCGCGUAGGCGGUUUGUUAAGUCGGAUGUGAAAUCCCAGGGCUCAACCUUGGAAUGGCACCC